CUGGAGUAUAAUGGUGGCAGCCCAGUGUUUGCACCAGAGUGAGACACACUUCUCCCCUGCUCCAGAUUGAUUGUUGUGUAUUAGCAGUGGCUAAUAAUCCUUCAGUUGUGAAAUCUCUGGAGAGACGGUAAUUACUGCGACAGGAUGGGGCCCCAGCGAGACAGCGUGCUGCAGUUCAUCCUGUCACUAUCGCUCAAGCACGUCUUCUCUUCCAGCCACAAACGUAACUAAAUGAAUUAGUCUCCUGUAGAGCGAGAGAGUGGAGCAGGCUAGCAUGCUCGUCUGAGACUGAAACCAAGCUGAAAUCCGCCGCUGAUACACUAAGUGCGAGUGGCAUCACUUCACAGCAUCCACCUUUGAAAAAUACCAAGCAAAUCUGACAGGAACUUCACAGCCACUUUAAACUUUAACUGUAAAGUACUACAAUAGAAAGUACAUUAAAUUAGUAGU
Molecule: long non-coding RNA, 450 nt
Organism: Labeo rohita (rohu)
Lineage: Eukaryota; Metazoa; Chordata; Actinopteri; Cypriniformes; Cyprinidae
Exons: 3
Source: RefSeq, a predicted model, not a curated record